Molecule: long non-coding RNA, 276 nt
Organism: Dermochelys coriacea (leatherback sea turtle)
Lineage: Eukaryota; Metazoa; Chordata; Testudines; Dermochelyidae
Exons: 3
Source: RefSeq, a predicted model, not a curated record
UCAUUGGAAAGAUUGGACAGGUGAGUGGCAUCCUGUAAGUCCCCCUCCCCAACAGUCCGCGCAGCUGCUUGGAGGGGGUAUCGUGAACUCUCGUGAUGGUAGUUGCGGGUUCUGGCAAGCUAGGGUAAAGGAUUUUUUGGAUAAAUGGAUAAGGAAGAACUGGGACCCAUACCAGGUGCAGGGGUCAACCUGGGAUGAGAUGAAAAAGGAAAAGGAGGCAGUAUUAGGGCACCCAGAGGGAUGGGGGGUGGCUGAGGAGCCCACCCUCCUUGGUAU